GAUGAACGCUGGCGGCGUGCCUAAUACAUGCAAGUCGAGCGAACAGACGAGGAGCUUGCUCCUCUGACGUUAGCGGCGGACGGGUGAGUAACACGUGGAUAACCUACCUAUAAGACUGGGAUAACUUCGGGAAACCGGAGCUAAUACCGGAUAAUAUAUUGAACCGCAUGGUUCAAUAGUGAAAGACGGUUUUGCUGUCACUUAUAGAUGGAUCCGCGCCGCAUUAGCUAGUUGGUAAGGUAACGGCUUACCAAGGCAACGAUGCGUAGCCGACCUGAUAGGGUGAUCGGCCACCUUGGAACUGAGACACGGUCCAGACUCCUACGGGAGGCAGCAGUAGGGAAUCUUCCGCAAUGGGCGAAAGCUUGACGGAGCAACGCCGCGUGAGUGAUGAAGGUCUUCGGAUCGUAAAACUCUGUUAUUAGGGAAGAACAAAUGUGUAAGUAACUAUGCACGUCUUGACGGUACCUAAUCAGAAAGCCACGGCUAACUACGUG
Molecule: ribosomal RNA, 497 nt
Filed under: uncultured bacterium
Lineage: Bacteria
Description: partial 16S ribosomal RNA
Rfam family: Bacterial small subunit ribosomal RNA
Source: RNAcentral